Molecule: ribosomal RNA, 570 nt
Filed under: Genolevuria sp.
Lineage: Eukaryota; Fungi; Basidiomycota; Tremellomycetes; Tremellales; Bulleraceae
Description: partial large subunit ribosomal RNA
Rfam family: Eukaryotic large subunit ribosomal RNA
Source: RNAcentral
CCGGGAAGAAGCUUCAAAUUUGUAAUCUGGCGUGCUCCGCGCGUCCGAGUUGUAAUCUAUAGAAGCGUUUUCCGUGCCGGACCGCGUCCAAGUCCCUUGGAACAGGGUAUCAAAGAGGGUGACAAUCCCGUACUUGACGCGACGACCGGUGCUCUGUGAUACGUUUUCUACGAGUCGAGUUGUUUGGGAAUGCAGCUCAAAACGGGUGGUGAAUUCCAUCUAAGGCUAAAUAUUGGCGAGAGACCGAUAGCGAACAAGUACCGUGAGGGAAAGAUGAAAAGCACUUUGGAAAGAGAGUUAAACAGUAUGUGAAAUUGUUGAAAGGGAAACGAUUGAAGUCAGUCGUGAGCUCGGGAUUCAGCCGGUUCUGCCGGUCUACUUCCCGAGUUUGGGUCAACAUCAGUUCCUGUCGGUGGAUAAAGGCUGCGGGAAUGUGGCUCCCUAGGGAGUGUUAUAGCCCGCUGUCGCAUACGCCGGUCGGGACUGAGGAAUGCAGCUCGCCUUUAUGGCCGGGGUUUCGGCCCACGUUCGAGCUUAGGAUGUUGGCAUAAUGGCUUUAAACGACCCGUC